UACGUAGGGUGCGAGCGUUAAUCGGAAUUACUGGGCGUAAAGCGUGCGCAGGCGGCUUUGCAAGACAGAUGUGAAAUCCCCGGGCUCAACCUGGGAACUGCAUCCAAAACUGCUGAGCUAGAGUACGGUAGAGGGUGGUGGAAUUUCCUGUGUAGCGGUGAAAUGCGUAGAUAUAGGAAGGAACACCAGUGGCGAAGGCAAUCCCCUGGGCCUGUACUGACGCUCAUGCACGAAAGCGUGGGGAGCAAACAGG
This 253-nucleotide ribosomal RNA is filed under the name uncultured bacterium. RNAcentral's name for it is "partial 16S ribosomal RNA". It matches the Rfam family "Bacterial small subunit ribosomal RNA", at positions 524 to 776 of the family's 1533-position model. The record is from RNAcentral.